RNAcentral lists this ribosomal RNA (208 nucleotides) under uncultured bacterium. RNAcentral describes it as "partial 16S ribosomal RNA". It matches the Rfam family "Bacterial small subunit ribosomal RNA", at positions 1293 to 1500 of the family's 1533-position model. The record is from RNAcentral.
UCGGAUUGCAGCCUGCAACUCGGCUGCAUGAAGCUGGAAUCGCUAGUAAUCGCAGAUCAGAAUGCUGCGGUGAAUACGUUCCCGGGUCUUGUACACACCGCCCGUCACACCAUGGGAGUUGGGAAUGCCCGAAGUCAGUGACCCAACCGCAAGGAGGGAGCUGCCGAAGGCAGGCUUGAUAACUGGGGUGAAGUCGUAACAAGGUACC